RNAcentral lists this ribosomal RNA (664 nucleotides) under Meloidogyne sp. DHR-2019. Its description in RNAcentral is "partial large subunit ribosomal RNA". It matches the Rfam family "Eukaryotic large subunit ribosomal RNA", at positions 421 to 944 of the family's 3401-position model. Lineage: Eukaryota; Metazoa; Nematoda; Chromadorea; Rhabditida; Meloidogynidae. The record is from RNAcentral.
GGAUAGAGUCGGCGUGAUCAUUCAAUUAUUCAGUUACAUUAUUGUUUAUGUUGUGACCUCUGAGCUCCAGAUUGGGACAGAGGGAAUCAGCAUAAUUUUUUGUGGUGCAUUUACUUGAUUGGUGCUUGGGGAUGUUUGAGGCAGAUUUGUUUCCGUCGUUUUGAGGCCAGCUUGCUGGUACCCAAACGGUGUUAGCAUUUUUUGUCUUGGGCAUUUGAGUAUGGCUCACGUGUAUUUAUUGGACAGAUCUGAGUGUAAGUUACGGUCGCAUGCGACACGUGCUUUUCAAUUAGUUCGGUCCAGUUAAUGCUCUCGUACUCGUUCCCCAUGUAAAAGCCGGUCAUCUAUCCGACCCGUCUUGAAACACGGACCAAGGAGUUUAUCGUGUGCGCAAGUUUUUGGGUGUUAAAAACUUAAAAGCGAAAUGAAAGUAAAUGACUCUUUAGAGUCUGAUGUGCGAUCUUGUAAAAAAGUGUAGCAUGGCCCCAUUCUAACUGUUUACAGUAGGGUGGCGGAAGAGCGUACGCGGUGAGACCCGAAAGAUGGUGAACUAUUCCUGAGCAGGACGAAGCCAGAGGAAACUCUGGUGGAAGUCCGAAGCGGUUCUGACGUGCAAAUCGAUCGUCUGACUUGGGUAUAGGGGCGAAAGACUAAUCGAACCAUC